GGGCCCGCACAAGCGGUGGAGCAUGUGGUUUAAUUCGAAGCAACGCGAAGAACCUUACCAGGUCUUGACAUACUCGUGCUAUCCUUAGAGAUAAGGAGUUCCUUCGGGACACGGGAUACAGGUGGUGCAUGGUUGUCGUCAGCUCGUGUCGUGAGAUGUUGGGUUAAGUCCCGCAACGAGCGCAACCCUUAUUACUAGUUGCCAUCAUUAAGUUGGGCACUCUAGUGAGACUGCCGGUGAUAAACCGGAGGAAGGUGGGGAUGACGUCAAAUCAUCAUGCCCCUUAUGACCUGGGCUACACACGUGCUACAAUGGAUGGUACAACGAGUCGCCAACCCGCGAGGGUGCGCUAAUCUCUUAAAACCAUUCUCAGUUCGGAUUGCAGGCUGCAACUCGCCUGCAUGAAGUCGGAAUCGCUAGUAAUCGCGGAUCAGCACGCCGCGGUGAAUACGGG
RNAcentral lists this ribosomal RNA (454 nucleotides) under uncultured Lactobacillales bacterium. Its description in RNAcentral is "bacterial SSU rRNA". It matches the Rfam family "Bacterial small subunit ribosomal RNA", at positions 917 to 1372 of the family's 1533-position model. The record is from RNAcentral. Lineage: Bacteria; Bacillati; Bacillota; Bacilli; Lactobacillales.